CACAGGCCACUAUUGGAUGUGGUUUUAAACAGUUAGUCUUCAUAAGAGUCAAAUGCUUUUAUGUUUAAGGAUAAGCUGUGAAUGUACCAAGUUUACUUGGAAAUUGUGUGAUUUCACGCUGCUGAAAAAAGUUUCGUAGGAAGAAAAUAUUGCCCGUACCGCAAACCGACACAGGUACUCAAGUGGAGAACACUAAGGUGAGCGAGUGAACUAUUGUUAAGGAACUCUGCAAAAUGAGUCCGUAACUUCGGAAGAAGGACUGCUGGUUUUAUACCAGCCGCAGCAAAUAGGCCCAAACAACUGUUUAUCAAAAACACAGGUUUCUGCAAAAUCGUAAGAUGAAGUAUAGGGGCUGACGCCUGCCCAGUGCUGGAAGGUUAAAAGGAGGACUUAGCUUCGGCGAAGGUCUUAAUUGAAGCCCCAGUGAACGGCGGCCGUAACUAUAACGGUCCUAAGGUAGCGAAAUUCCUUGUCGGGUAAGUUCCGACCCGCAUGAAAGGCGUAAUGAUUUGGGCGCUGUCUCAACAAUAGACUCGGUGAAAUUUAAAUUCCAGUGAAGAUGCUGGGUACCCGCGACAGGACGGAAAGACCCCGUGGAGCUUUACUGUAGCUUGAUAUUGAAUGUUUGUGCUGCAUGUGCAGGAUAGGUAGGAGACUUUGAAGUCGGAACGCUAGUUUCGAUUGAGUCACCCUUGAGAUACUACCUCUGUUGUAUGAACGUUCUAACUCUGAUCAGUUAUCCUGAUCGAAGACAGUGUCUGGCAGGCAGUUUGACUGGGGCGGUCGCCUCCUAAAAGAUAACGGAGGCGCUCAAAGGUUUGCUCAGAAUGGUUGGAAAUCAUUCGUAGCGUGUAAAGGCAUAAGCAAGCUUGACUGUGAGACUGACAAGUCGAGCAGGUACGAAAGUAGGACUUAGUGAUCCGGUGGUUCCGUAUGGAAGGGCCAUCGCUCAACGGACAAAAGCUACCCCGGGGAUAACAGGCUCAUCUCCCCCAAGAGUCCACAUCGACGGGGAGGUUUGGCACCUCGAUGUCGGCUCAUCGCAUCCUGGGGCUGUAGUCGGUCCCAAGGGUUGGGCUGUUCGCCCAUUAAAGCGGUACGCGAGCUGGGUUCAGAACGUCGUGAGACAGUUCGGUCCCUAUCCGUCGUGGGCGCAGGAAAUUUGAGAGGAUCUGUCCUUAGUACGAGAGGACCGGGAUGGACAUACCUCUGGUGUACCAGUUGUUCUGCCAAGAGCACCGCUGGGUAGCUACGUAUGGAUUAGAUAAUCGCUGAAAGCAUCUAAGUGAGAAACUAACCUCGAGAUGAGAUUUCCCAUUCGUCAGAAGUAAGACCCCUGAGAGACGAUCAGGUAGAUAGGCUAGAAGUGGAAGUGUAGUGAUGCAUGGAGCGGACUAGUACUAAUAGGUCGAGGACUUAACCAAG
Molecule: ribosomal RNA, 1425 nt
Filed under: Oenococcus oeni
Lineage: Bacteria; Bacillati; Bacillota; Bacilli; Lactobacillales; Lactobacillaceae
Description: bacterial LSU rRNA
Rfam family: Bacterial large subunit ribosomal RNA
Source: RNAcentral